Molecule: small nuclear RNA, 169 nt
Organism: Stegostoma tigrinum
Lineage: Eukaryota; Metazoa; Chordata; Chondrichthyes; Orectolobiformes; Stegostomatidae
Product: U1 spliceosomal RNA
Exons: 1
Source: RefSeq, a predicted model, not a curated record
GAGAUUACCUGGCAGGGAAGAGACAAUGAUCACAAAAGUUGUUCUUCCAAGACGAGGCUAUCCCAUUGCACUUUUGGUGUGCUGACACCUGCGAUAUCCCCAAAUGCGGGAUACUCAGCUGCAAAAUUUAUGGUAGUGGGUGAUUGCGAUCGUGCUCAAAAAAACCCAU